UACGUAGGUGGCAAGCGUUAUCCGGAUUUAUUGGGCGUAAAGGGAACGCAGGCGGUCCUGCAAGUCUGGAGUGAAACGUAUGAGCUCAACUCAUGCAUGGCUCUGGAAACUGGGAGACUUGAGUGCAGAAGAGGAGAGUGGAACUCCAUGUGUAGCGGUGAAAUGCGUAGAUAUAUGGAAGAACACCAGUGGCGAAAACGGCUCUCUGGUCUGUAACUGACGCUGAGGUUCGAAAGCGUGGGUAGCAAAAAGG
This 253-nucleotide ribosomal RNA is filed under the name uncultured Lactobacillus sp. Its description in RNAcentral is "partial 16S ribosomal RNA". It matches the Rfam family "Bacterial small subunit ribosomal RNA", at positions 524 to 776 of the family's 1533-position model. The record is from RNAcentral. Lineage: Bacteria; Bacillati; Bacillota; Bacilli; Lactobacillales; Lactobacillaceae.